RNAcentral lists this ribosomal RNA (393 nucleotides) under uncultured bacterium. Its description in RNAcentral is "partial 16S ribosomal RNA". It matches the Rfam family "Bacterial small subunit ribosomal RNA", at positions 523 to 918 of the family's 1533-position model. The record is from RNAcentral.
AUACGGAGGAUCCGAGCGUUAUCCGGAUUUAUUGGGUUUAAAGGGUGCGUAGGUGGUUUGAUAAGUCAGCGGUGAAAGUUUGCAGCUUAACUGUAAAAAUGCCGUUGAAACUGUCGGACUUGAGUGUAAAUGAGGUAGGCAGAAUGCGUGGUGUAGCGGUGAAAUGCAUAGAUAUCACGCAGAACUCCGAUUGCGAAGGCAGCUUACUAAGCUACAACUGACACUGAAGCACGAAAGCGUGGGGAUCAAACAGGAUUAGAUACCCUGGUAGUCCACGCAGUAAACGAUGAUUACUAGCUGUUUGCGAUACACAGUAAGCGGCACAGCGAAAGCGUUAAGUAAUCCACCUGGGGAGUACGCCGGCAACGGUGAAACUCAAAUGAAUUGACGGGG